UGAGACUGUUGGCUUGUCUCAAGGGACUUGGUAAAACUGGGCUGCUUGUUAGGAAGCUCCGUCUGUCCAGAAUAUUAUCAGCUGGUGAUGUUGGGCCAGCUCGGGUAAGGCCCAGUACUUUGGGAGGGUCAGUUCCAGUGUAGCUAUGGCUGCUGUGUUUUCCAGAGAACUGUUGUUUGAACUAUCACACCUCUUUUAAGUUUUCAUUUUCCAGUGCUUCAUGGGAGGAAAAAUUGUUUUCAGGAAAGCAACCAUUUUUGGCAAAUGAAAGAAUUUAAAAUACUUUUAUUUUUAUUUUUAUUAUUUUUAUUUUUAUUUUUAUUUUUAUUUUUAUUUUUAUUUUUAUUUUUAUUUUUAUUUUUGAAAGGGGGGUAGUAGGGAGGUGGGUGGUGUGGAAGGCCAGCCAUGCUCCUACCCAUGCUGAGAAUCCCACUUCUUCCAACAUGCUGUGCCUCCCCCCGGGGUCCUGCACAGGGUGAAGGAUGAAUUGAGCUGCCUGCCCUGCUCUGCUGACACUCCCCAGGACUUUUAGCUGAUGAUUUUUCACUAAGACACCUGGAUCCUCCAAACCUGGUUUUGUUUCUGUGCAGCAUCACCUCUAUUUGCAGAAAGCAAUGAGGCUGUGAUGUGAGCAUCCCUUGGCCUGUAUCUGGGAAAGCUCAGGCCGGUGCUGGAUGCAUUUUGAGCGGCAAGCUGGAGUGAGCAGGUAUUUAUUUACUCGGUCUGGGGCAUCACAGUGGUGUUACUUAUUCCUGCCCUGGCUGGUGUCCCAGGAGCGCCUGGGCGCUGGCAGCCCCUCGGUGCUGGGCAGACACUGCUGCGUUUCAGAGCCCCGCUCAAUGCCGCUGUUUGUGCUCCUCCGAACGCUCACGCCUGGGGAUGGGGCAGCUGCCAGCACAGGGGCCGUGUCAGGACCACGGGGAAUUUGGGAGAAGGCACAUGGCCAGCACUCUGCGGUGCCUGCACAGCCUGGCAGCAGGGGAUGUCGUUCCAGGAUUACAGAUGUUGGGUGCCUAUCCUUGGGCUCUUGAUAAGAUCAGACCGGCAAGGCGAUGCCGCUGGCAAAAUGCCUUCACCCAGUGCCCGCGUGGCUGUGCCGGGAGAAGCAGCGGGGAUGUGCUCGGCACCGCUGGCCUCACCGCGACCAGCGCGAGAUGGAGGUGGCUGAGGCUGCGGCUGCUGCUGGCCAGGCUUGGCUGGCCUCCUGCCUCCAGGCAGGGAGCAAUGGCUCCUCCAGCCAUGGCUUCUAAUGC
Molecule: long non-coding RNA, 1253 nt
Filed under: Anas platyrhynchos platyrhynchos (common mallard)
Lineage: Eukaryota; Metazoa; Chordata; Aves; Anseriformes; Anatidae
Description: lncRNA (ENSAPLG00000021455.1)
Source: RNAcentral